AUUGCACGCUGGCGGCAGGCCUAACACAUGCAAGUCGAGCGAGCGGCGGACGGGUGAGUAAUGUAUGGGGACUGCCCGAUAGAGGGGGAUAACUACUGGAAACGGUAGCUAAUACCGCAUACUAUCGGAUAACCCAUAGGGGAUGAGCUAGUAGGUGAGGUAAUGGCUCACCUAGGCGACGAUCCGUAGCUGGUUUGAGAGGACGACCAGCAACACUGGGACUGAGACACGGCCCGGACUCCUACGGAGGCAGCAGUGGGGAAUUUUGGACAAUGGAGGAAACCCUGAUCCAGCCAUCCCGCGUGUAUGAUGAAGGCCUUCGGGUUGUAAAGUACUUUUGGCAGAGAAGCGGUAUCUGCAGAAUAAGCACCGGCUAACUACGUGCCAGCAGCCGCGGUAAUUC
Molecule: ribosomal RNA, 403 nt
Filed under: uncultured bacterium
Lineage: Bacteria
Description: partial 16S ribosomal RNA
Rfam family: Bacterial small subunit ribosomal RNA
Source: RNAcentral